AAGUCGAACGCUUCUUUCCUCCCGAGUGCUUGCACUCAAUUGGAAAGAGGAGUGGCGGACGGGUGAGUAACACGUGGGUAACCUACCCAUCAGAGGGGGAUAACACUUGGAAACAGGUGCUAAUACCGCAUAACAGUUUAUGCCGCAUGGCAUAAGAGUGGAAGGCGCUUUCGGGCGUCGCUGAUGGAUGGACCCGCGGUGCAUUAGCUAGUUGGUGAGGUAACGGCUCACCAAGGCCACGAUGCAUAGCCGACCUGAGAGGGUGAUCGGCCACACUGGGACUGAGACACGGCCCAGACUCCUACGGGAGGCAGCAGUAGGGAAUCUUCGGCAAUGGACGAAAGUCUGACCGAGCAACGCCGCGUGAGUGAAGAAGGUUUUCGGAUCGUAAAACUCUGUUGUUAGAGAAGAACAAGGACGUUAGUAACUGAACGUCCCCUGACGGUAUCUAACCAGAAAGCCACGGCUAACUACGUGCCAGCAGCCGCGGUAAUACGUAGGUGGCAAGCGUUGUCCGGAUUUAUUGGGCGUAAAGCGAGCGCAGGCGGUUUCUUAAGUCUGAUGUGAAAGCCCCCGGCUCAACCGGGGAGGGUCAUUGGAAACUGGGAGACUUGAGUGCAGAAGAGGAGAGUGGAAUUCCAUGUGUAGCGGUGAAAUGCGUAGAUAUAUGGAGGAACACCAGUGGCGAAGGCGGCUCUCUGGUCUGUAACUGACGCUGAGGCUCGAAAGCGUGGGGAGCAAACAGG
RNAcentral lists this ribosomal RNA (746 nucleotides) under uncultured Enterococcaceae bacterium. RNAcentral's name for it is "bacterial SSU rRNA". It matches the Rfam family "Bacterial small subunit ribosomal RNA", at positions 59 to 776 of the family's 1533-position model. The record is from RNAcentral. Lineage: Bacteria; Bacillati; Bacillota; Bacilli; Lactobacillales; Enterococcaceae.